UUGUAGUGUUGUGGCAUGCGGUUAUAUGAAGUAUUAAUAGUGGUUGAUUUUAUUGUUAUUGACGAGCCAUUUUAAUCCGGUGAUGGUUAAUCGAUCUCUCAUCAACCAACAAGUUUAGGCCGGUGAUUUCACCUUCAAUGGGAAUAAUAUUUAUGCACUAAUAAGUUGGGGUAAUAUAUGCGGAUACCCCACAUUUCAGAAGCAAAAUAGUAGAGAUGAUGCACUGGCACAACAACUGGCUUAUUUUGAUUAUGAGUUCUAAAAUGGUGAUCCUGACCAUCUUAGGAUUAUUGUAGUUAUGCCAAGUCAACCCUGGAUUGAACCUGCAACAUUGAAACUUAAGCAUAGGAUCGGGUUUGGACCGUUUCGUGAUGUCUGGUUAGCAACACAACACAAGUCAUCUGAAGAAUAUGACUUAUGCAUAAAAACCUGAGGUUGCUACUGAGUUUUACAAUGGCAGUUAUUGCUUUGAAGUAUAUUGACCCCAUAUCAGGGAGGUAACUUCGUUUUAAAGGGAAAGCAUAUAAUAUCCACCCCCAUCAAGAUCAUUGUAUAAUUUUCCUUUGAUUUGCCUAUAAGAAGUGGC
This is a long non-coding RNA of Daucus carota subsp. sativus, 586 nucleotides long. RefSeq lists it as uncharacterized. The transcript has 3 exons. Lineage: Eukaryota; Viridiplantae; Streptophyta; Magnoliopsida; Apiales; Apiaceae. The record is from RefSeq and is a predicted model, not a curated record.